CUUAUGGCAAAAAAUAAAACAGAGGAAGACUGAGAAAGGCAGAAGAGAAAGGCUCCUAGAUGCGGCCUUUUUCAUGGGUGGGUCACCACUGAGGGAAUGUUUCCUCCUUAACAGAAAUGACCGCGUAAAGCUGAAACCUUCAGGAUGGGAAAGAACAACCAUGCGUGGCAGGGGAAGGCGGGGAGCAGCUGAAGAUCCUAGAGAUGUUGAAGAUUAGAAAGAAGGUGAAAGAGAAGGAGGGAAAGGAGAAGACGAUGAAGACACAGGGAUCAAGUCCAUGGCAUAAAUAAUGAAGCAAGAAGGCACUCAUCAGAUACAGAACCCCUCCAUCUUGGAUUUCCCAGCCACCAGAGCCAUGAGCCAAAUAAAUAUGUGUUCAUUAUAAAU
Marmota monax (woodchuck) is the source of this 387-nucleotide long non-coding RNA. RefSeq lists it as uncharacterized. The record is from RefSeq and is a predicted model, not a curated record. NCBI's taxonomy places the organism in Eukaryota, Metazoa, Chordata, Mammalia, Rodentia, Sciuridae. The transcript has 3 exons.